This is a long non-coding RNA of Actinia tenebrosa (Australian red waratah sea anemone), 1456 nucleotides long. RefSeq lists it as uncharacterized. Lineage: Eukaryota; Metazoa; Cnidaria; Anthozoa; Actiniaria; Actiniidae. The record is from RefSeq and is a predicted model, not a curated record.
AGCAUCAUCAUGGGUGAUAUUGUCCAACCUUAUUUCAUUUACCUAAAGUCAAGGAUAAAGAAUAACAUUAUUGGAGCAUUGUUCAAUGGACCUUGUGGGCGCCAAAACUUCCCAUAACAGAUGAAAAACUGUGAACCAGGACAGGAAGAGGCACGAACGACCCUCAAAGGUAGCGAUUCCACUUUCGAUUGAAUUAUCAAAAAAAAAUUAACAAGUUUUUUGCAGUUCUCUUAUCUCUACAUAUAAGGACAUAAAUGUUGAUUCAAGUAGUUCUUAAGAGUACUUAAGACUAAGAGGACAUAAACUUGAAUCACAGACGUUUCUAGAGCAGUUCAAAACGAGUGGUCCAUAAGACUAUGUCCAAAGCGAUAAAAUAUAACAAUAAACACGGGAUUUAUGAAAAUUAACCGCUAAUUAUAAUCACGUAUACAAUACUGAAGUUUUAAACACGAACUUGAAAGAAAAUCUUCAGUUUUGUUUUCAAGUUUUACAACGGUUCAUAAACGAAAGCUUAUUCAAAUUGUAUGAAUUAUUUACACGAACAAAAAACUAGAUAAUUCCGUUACACUGAAGCCGAAAGAUCGGGUCAAGGUUGAGCCCUCGCUGUAGACAUACGGUACUAACCUCAGACGAUUUACUACGACCAUACAAUAGUUCGAUCUUUGGCCCAGGUCACGUAUCUUAUAAAGUACAUCAGAAGAGAAGUGAUAUAUGAAUAAAUCUUGAUGUUUGGUUGGUACAAGCUUGGUAAAGAUUUUACUGCACGACUACUUAACGUGUUAUUGCGGCUUCAAGAACUUUCGUACACUUGAGUUGUUAUCUGUGUAACAAUAGACCUAAUAGCCGCUAAGCUGAUCCAAUGUUUGGACUCUUUCCAAGCUAAAGUCUUAAUCCUCCUGCACACAAGGCGCAUGUGAACAACAGACGGGCCAUGUCAACCCAAACAAAAAAGAGCUAAUUUCGUAUUUUUAAAGAGGUAUUCCUAUAAUGUCGCGCAAACAACCACCAUGACGAAAGCAUAGAAAACUUAGGCCCAUUUUUGAAUGUCUUUGGAUACAUUUUGGCCGUAAGUUUGUAAACCUUUUCUAAAUCUUCAUAAUCCAUGGAUGAUUAGGGAAAAGCACGAAAUAAGCUUUAAUUACUUUUAACAAACAUAUGUUGACCAUGGAGUCUUAGACGUUUGGAUUAGCUGGCACUAGCUAUCAGUCACUUUCCGACCAAACAAAAACCUUUGUAAACAGUUUUUCUGCUUUCUAAAGAAACUGGUAAUACUGCUUUGGGCUUUGUUUAGAGUAGAAAUAAAAAAAUCAACUUUGGAAACGAACUUUGCUGUAAAAUAUUCAAAACUAAACGGUAAUAAUUUCCGAAUAAUUUUAAAGGAUUGUAGCUUAGACCAUGAUAAGGUGAUAGAUAAAUUGGGCUGGAAGAGUCUUCGAAAUAGAUGUUCAAUUCAUAA